Molecule: long non-coding RNA, 877 nt
Filed under: Olea europaea subsp. europaea
Lineage: Eukaryota; Viridiplantae; Streptophyta; Magnoliopsida; Lamiales; Oleaceae
Source: RNAcentral
AAAUGAUAAACUAAACGCACUCUUAUUAUUUACUUACAAGUAAAGUUUUUAAGCUUAAACAUGUUAUAAAUAUGACAAAAUGCAAACAUUUCACGCAUCUUGUAUUUUCUAAUCAUGUUCAAUUUGAUGUAAAAGCAUGUCAUUAGGUCAUUUUCGAGUCAAUGAACUGAAUCCAUAUAUCUUUUAUGUUUCAUGUAUAUCAGCUGGAUGAUUGGGUGUUAUGUAGAAUUUACAAGAAAAAGAAUUUGGGGAAAGGUGCUGAGCAGAAAGCUGAAAAUCCAAUAGCCCAAAUCGUAACUCUUGACAGUGCAACAAGUGAAGCAUCAAAAUUUCCCAGAACUUGUUCCCUGACUCAUCUAUGGGAAUAUGGUUAUAUGGGUUCAAUUGCCCAUCUUUUGAAUGACAAUUCUUUUAAUAAUAAUAUGCCCUUUGAUAAUCAGAACCCAGUGAGCAGCAAUGUAAAUCUUUCGGAGACAUUAAGGUUAGGACAAGUGCAGAAACCAUACACAGAUGGCAUGAAGUUUCAAGGGAAUUAUCAGCCAAUUUUUGUGAAUCCGGUUCAUGAAAUUCAAUGAAAAUCUUGCUAGGAGAUUGGAUGAGGAUCAAAAAGUAGAAACUGUACAAAAAGUGGCUAAUUCAUUUGUCAUUGUCAAUAGGAAGAUAUUAUCUUGAAAGUCUUUUAAGAUUUGAUAAUUGAUAUCAGCAAGUAAUGUUUAAGAAUUGUAAUAUAGUAUUUUUCGAUGUACUGAACGUAGAUUAAAAUCGCUUGUAUUGUAGAUUUAUAAGGUUUUAAGAAUAGUAUAUAUAGAUUUCUCUUUAUGUCAAAAAUUACAUUUGCCCUUGUUUGAUACAAAUUUUAAUCUAAAUCAAAUUUAAC